Molecule: non-coding RNA, 81 nt
Organism: Schistosoma mansoni
Lineage: Eukaryota; Metazoa; Platyhelminthes; Trematoda; Strigeidida; Schistosomatidae
Source: Rfam
GAAAAACUGCCGAGUGGUUAAGGCAAUGGACUGCUAAACCAUUGGGGUUUACCCGCGUGGGUUCGAACCCCAUGCUCGUCG